Dioscorea cayenensis subsp. rotundata (Guinea yam) is the source of this 362-nucleotide long non-coding RNA. RefSeq lists it as uncharacterized. The record is from RefSeq and is a predicted model, not a curated record. NCBI's taxonomy places the organism in Eukaryota, Viridiplantae, Streptophyta, Magnoliopsida, Dioscoreales, Dioscoreaceae. The transcript has 4 exons.
UUGUCAACAACAAUAACUUCAAUGGAAGCAUUCCUUCAACACUGAACCUAGUGCCGACAUUAGAGGCUCUGUGUCUCGACCGAAAUAAAUUAACCGGGCCAGUACCUCCCAUUCUUAAUAGCCUUGCUAGCAUCAAAGAACUGUAUUUAUCGAAUAAUAUGUUAUCUGGUCCUUGCCAAACUUAAUUGGAAUGAAUGCACUCUCUUAUGUGGACUUGAGUAACAAUUCCUUUGGUGCAUUAGAUGUGCCUCCAUGGUUCUCAACCAUGCCAUCUUUGACAACACUGUACAUCACUCUCUCUUUCUCUGGAUUAUUCAUUCAACUUAAUAUUUCUAAUGUGCAUAUGUUUAACCUGUAGAUUA